AGAGUUGAUAUGGCUCAGGAUGAACGCUAGCGACAGGCUUAACACAUGCAAGUCGAGGGGCAGCACGGGAGUAGCAAUACAACUGGUGGCGACCGGCGCACGGGUGAGUAACGCGUAUGCAACCUACCUAUCAGAGGGGAAUAACCCGGCGAAAGUCGGACUAAUACCGCAUAAAACAGGGGCACCGCAUGGUGAUAUUUGUUAAAGAGAUUCGCUGAUAGAUGGGCAUGCGUUCCAUUAGGUAGUUGGUGAGGUAACGGCUCACCAAGCCGACGAUGGAUAGGGGAACUGAGAGGUUGGUCCCCCACACUGGUACUGAGACACGGACCAGACUCCUACGGGAGGCAGCAGUGAGGAAUAUUGGUCAAUGGGCGGGAGCCUGAACCAGCCAAGUCGCGUGAAGGAAGAAGGAUCUAUGGUUCGUAAACUUCUUUUGCAGGGGAAUAAAGUGCAGGACGUGUCCUGUUUUGUAUGUACCCUGAGAAUAAGGAUCGGCUAACUCCGUGCCAGCCGCCGC
RNAcentral lists this ribosomal RNA (517 nucleotides) under uncultured bacterium. Its description in RNAcentral is "bacterial SSU rRNA". It matches the Rfam family "Bacterial small subunit ribosomal RNA", at positions 8 to 518 of the family's 1533-position model. The record is from RNAcentral.